GGGGAGCAAACAGGAUUAGAUACCCUGGUAGUCCACGCCGUAAACGAUGUCGAUUUGGAGGUUGUGCCCUUGAGGCGUGGCUUCCGGAGCUAACGCGUUAAAUCGACCGCCUGGGGAGUACGGCCGCAAGGUUAAAACUCAAAUGAAUUGACGGGGGCCCGCACAAGCGGUGGAGCAUGUGGUUUAAUUCGAUGCAACGCGAAGAACCUUACCUGGUCUUGACAUCCACAGAACUUUCCAGAGAUGGAUUGGUGCCUUCGGGAACUGUGAGACAGGUGCUGCAUGGCUGUCGUCAGCUCGUGUUGUGAAAUGUUGGGUUAAGUCCCGCAACGAGCGCAACCCUUAUCCUUUGUUGCCAGCGGUUAGGCCGGGAACUCAAAGGAGACUGCCAGUGAUAAACUGGAGGAAGGUGGGGAUGACGUCAAGUCAUCAUGGCCCUUACGACCAGGGCUACACACGUGCUACAAUGGCGCAUACAAAGAGAAGCGACCUCGCGAGAGCAAGCGGACCUCAUAAAGUGCGUCGUAGUCCGGAUUGGAGUCUGCAACUCGACUCCAUGAAGUCGGAAUCGCUAGUAAUCGUAGAUCAGAAUGCUACGGUGAAUACGUUCCCGGGCCUUGUACACACCGCCCGUCACACCAUGGGAGUGGGUUGCAAAAGAAGUAGGUAGCUUAACCUUCGGGAGGGCGCUUACCACUUUGUGAUUCAUGACUGGGGUGAAG
Molecule: ribosomal RNA, 722 nt
Filed under: Enterobacter cloacae
Lineage: Bacteria; Pseudomonadati; Pseudomonadota; Gammaproteobacteria; Enterobacterales; Enterobacteriaceae
Description: bacterial SSU rRNA
Rfam family: Bacterial small subunit ribosomal RNA
Source: RNAcentral